Molecule: long non-coding RNA, 356 nt
Organism: Candoia aspera
Lineage: Eukaryota; Metazoa; Chordata; Lepidosauria; Squamata; Candoiidae
Exons: 2
Source: RefSeq, a predicted model, not a curated record
GGCGACGAGGUCUUCUGGCGGAAGGUCGCUUCUUGCCCUGAGGGUUAUUGGGACCUUUGCGUUGCUCUUCUUUUUCCUUUCUUUGGCUGUCCCAGUGCUCGUUUUCUGGCCCACAGGCUAGCCCUUAGGAGACUUGAAGGCCAUUUAGAUGUUUUUCUGCAUGAAGAUAAUCCUCACCAUUUAUUUCCCUCCACCUACAGCCCCAAGUUCUGAACAUGUAGAUAUUUUAGCCAUUACAUUUGCAAAUAAAUUGAACUAAUUUCUUGUAAAGGUUAUCUCAGCUAGUAGCAAUCACAAUUUCUGGCUGCAAAUUCUAUUUAUUUAAUCAGUGGGUGAAUAAAUUUUAUUGUUUUAAA